Molecule: long non-coding RNA, 670 nt
Filed under: Bos taurus (domestic cattle)
Lineage: Eukaryota; Metazoa; Chordata; Mammalia; Artiodactyla; Bovidae
Description: long non-coding RNA NONBTAT011044
Source: RNAcentral
GGUUAGCUGGAGCUACCAUCUUUUCACUCUGUCAGGUAUAGCCCUCAUCUUGCUGUUGGCAGAUUUUCAUUGGUUGAGGGCAUCUUAACUUAUCAAAGAUCACCAGGACAUGCUCAAGAGGGAAUCAGACAGUAUGUGGAAUGCAGGGUUAUCUGUCAGAACUGUUGGAAUGUAUUGAAACUUGGAAAGCUGCUAAACUUGAAACUCCACUGCUUUUUUUCUUCCUGCACCAGCUCCUGUAGGUAUUUUGGGUUACAUACUUGAAAAGCAAAAUAUGGAUUUAGGACUCUACAUUGAUGAGAACAUAGGUAAGUAAUUUCUGCCCAUUAGUUUUAUAAAUUCAACAACAGGAACAACAUUUGAACCCGUGUUGAGUCCUGGGUGCUGAGAAUACCUGAAAUGUAAUAAAAAUCCUUUUUCCCUGAUCAGUGAUUUAUUAGUCUGACUUUUCUGUUCUUGUGUUGAUCAGCUUCUUUCUUUCAAACUCAUGAGCUAGGCAUCAAACUUAGCCACAUUUUGUAGAGAUAAGUAACACUGAUGAUAACAUGAUUUAGAAGAGAGGCCUUUUUUCUUGUGGUUAUGCAACCUCUGUCCUAAGACCAUAGGAAUCCAUGGUAUUGGCUCAGUGGCAGAGUCAGAACCGUCAAGCAUUCUGAGCCUUUCUUAUCUG